RNAcentral lists this long non-coding RNA (381 nucleotides) under Brassica napus (rape). Its description in RNAcentral is "long non-coding RNA (BNAP_LNC017920)". Lineage: Eukaryota; Viridiplantae; Streptophyta; Magnoliopsida; Brassicales; Brassicaceae. The record is from RNAcentral.
UUGAGGCAAGGGAUGGAGACUUGUUUCCUGAAUCGGAUGGUUGAGCUGGUGGGUUUCGCUUCCGGCGGAGCAGCUGUUUCUUGGUGGCGGGGAAACUGAGUGCCAAAGGAUCUAUUGGGGGUUGCGGCUAGGGGGUAAGGAAGUCAAAGUCUGAUGAUGAGCAUCCUGCCACAGCUCCUCUAGUUAGUAUAUCAGCCACCUUCUUCAUGAACUGAGCUGAAGCUUCUGCUUGCCUCUUCACAGUCUUACUCAACUCCUUACAUUUGGCUUUGAGCUUGAAGAUGGUUCUGUCCUGAGCUUUGUUCCACUUUUGGAGGUUGCCAAUAUGCUCAUGAGCUUGGCAAAGGGGACCAUUGGGUAAGGCUCCAUGACGUUGCUCAA